This 222-nucleotide ribosomal RNA is filed under the name uncultured microorganism. RNAcentral describes it as "partial 16S ribosomal RNA". It matches the Rfam family "Bacterial small subunit ribosomal RNA", at positions 9 to 258 of the family's 1533-position model. The record is from RNAcentral.
GAGUUUGAUCGUGGCUCAGAAUGAACGCUGGCGGCAUGCCUAACACAUGCAAGUCGAACGAAGGCUUCGGCCUUAGUGGCGCACGGGUGCGUAACGCGUGGGAAUCUGCCCUUGGGUUCGGGAAUAACAGUUAGAAAUGACUGCUAAUACCGGAUGAUGUCGUAAGACCAAAGAUUUAUCGCCCAAGGAUGAGCCCGCGUAGGAUUAGCUAGUUGGUGGGGU